UUCAAGCUUCUUGUCAGAUUUUCCUACAUUAGAAAGCUUUAUACCUGCAGGAUAAUUCUUAGAAGCUGAGCUUUCGAUUCGAAUGCUGAACGCUGAAUCUGUUGAAAAAGUUUUCAUCUGGUCAUAUCCACAAACACCUGAGAAUGCAUUCCAAUUAAGCUAGCAGUCGAAUCCCUGAUAUUCUUUGCAUACAUUUGGUGCAUGAAUUGGGCCAGAUGCCUGCUCAACGAGUAUGAUCAUAUGCCAUUGGACCUACGUCAGUCGUCGGAUUGGGUGCUACCUAGGUCGAAAUUCCAAAUCUGAGCAUAAGAUAUAGACUUCAUUUCGCCGUUUCAGAUAUGAUUCCAAAUCCAUAAGCUAUUGGAUUUGAUUUUUUUUGUUUAAGCUUAGUAUAGGAAGAAUGGAGGCAGCAAAAAUGGAUUCAACCAGAAAGAAUUGGCCACAUGAUGGCCUGACACCGAUUCAGCCUGAAAAUGCGAAGCAACUCAUGCUCAAAUAGUCGGAAAAUCGAUUGGAGCCGGAGCAUCUUGAAACUCAAAGUGACUUGUGACACAAAACCUAAUCCAAACCUAAUCCGACCUGACCCGACCGAUCAACACCUCAAAUAGAGCUCGGAAUAAAUUUCAUUUCUGAUUUACUUCUGUUAGCCCUAGCUUUUGCUGCCUUGUUCAGGUUCUAACAGGCUUAAUACUGCCAUUACCUCUCAUGCUUGUCAUUAAAUUCAUAGUGGUCCAAAUAUUCAUAUCACAAUAAUUAGUUUUCAGACUCAAAAAACAUGUGCCCACAACUUUCCUCACCAUACAGAGAGGCCAUGAGAAUGAGUCCAAAGCUGCCCUACCUGCAAAACCCAGACUAACUUUUGGCUCUACUCAUGGAACUCUUCUGCUGCAAAGUUGGAAUUGGCCUUUCUCUUGUCCUCCCUCAUGCCCUCACUUCCCUUCCACCUACCCCUCAGUAAACAAACAUACUCCUUUGAAGCUGAGUAUUUAAAGAGCAUCCAGGACAAGAGAGUGUAUGAGACCUAACAAAGUAUCUUUAAGAGAAUCCUCAAGAGAGAGAGAGAGGUAGAGAAUGCAUUGUGAGAAGCAAGUUUGUUUUGUGGUGCACAAAUUAUAUUAUGGGUUUUGCAUGCAUGCAUGUGUGAAGAAUGGUGAGGGUCUGCCUGGCUCCCUGAAUGCCAUCUGAGAAGCUUUGUCAAAUGUGUUGAUGAACUUGUUGGUUGGCAUCUGGGGAGUCAUGCAGGCCUUUUUCUUUCUCCUUCUAUUUUCCUGUUCUUCCUUCUUAGUUUAGGGUCUGUUUGGUUCCCUUUGACCGGAUGGUAUAGGACAAGAGAGCGGUGCUGCGAAAAACAAGAUUUAGCAACUUGGAGGAGUCAGGAGUCGCAACUGGUGGGGGGUUCGUCCGGUGCGAUAUUUUGAAUCCAAUCCCGUUCAAUCUCAGUCUGUCAGGUGGGUUUUGAUAAUCCCAUCUUAAUAUAGUUAUCUGAUCCGAUUAGAUUUGAUAAUCCUAACCAACUGCAACCUCCGAUAUCUGUAAGUCGCUAAACCCUUCGUCUCCUCCAAUAUCUUUCACUCUUCUUAUGCUAUCGAAUCCAAUCGUGGUUGGAAAAUGAGCCACAUCCUUCCAAGAAAACUGACUGCUAAUUUCAUGUACCUUCUUACUUUAGCUUCUCAUUCUUACUUUAGGGGUGUUUGGUUUCUGAAAUAUUUGGAAAAUGAAAAUACUACUUAUCAGUAAAAAUUUCUAAACAAUUUUUUGUAGAAAAAACCAUUUUUUCUAGGAACCAAAUGGACGAAAAAUACUUUUCCAACCAAAACAAAAAGUUUGGGAAACCAAACACCCCCCCAUCUCCUUUGAUCCUUUUCAAGGUAAAACUUUAGUUUUAGAUUCUGAAUUAUUUUCAUUUUUGAGUUGUAUUCAUUUUGGUCAAUUUUUUAUGUUCUUUUCUUUUGCUGAAAAAGAAUAAAAAAAACAGGGUGAAGUGUGCAAAUCUUUUCUCUUUGUACAAAGAUUGUUAAGAAGAAAGAAUUACCCUUCCAAUUUACUAAAGCAAAGGAAAAGAAUUAGACAAGUAAAGAGAGAUUUGGUCUUCCAAUGCACCAUUGAUGCACCAUUGAUCUAAUUGGACUUUUGGUCACUGGGAGUCUUAAUAAGCCACUCUCUUUUGAAGAUGCUUAGACCAACUGUUAAUACAUAUAGGUACAUUUGUUUUAUCUUUGUCUAAUAUCCUGUUCAAAUUUUAUUUUCGGCCGAAAAUACGGUUUGUAUAUGUAUUCUUACCAAAUCCAAUUCGUAUUCGUAUUCUUAUUAUCAUGCUAAAUAUGGUUAUAGAUAUUGUUUUUUUUUUGUUUUGGGACUUAUUUUCCUAGAAAAGAAUUUCAAUUUUAUGUGAAUAUUUUUGUUUCAUUCGUAUCUUAGCCUUCCUACUUUCGUAUAUCCGCAUAUGUUAUUUACAUAUCUAAAUAGUAUCUGAUUUGCAUCUUCUACAUAUUUAGAAGCCAAAAUAGAGUAUCCAUGCAUCAUAUUGGAAGGAGAUAAUAAACUGACAAGUUUUGGCUUCUGCAUUUCUGUGUUCAGAACAGUUGACUGCAAUAUAUUACAAAUCAUCAGAAGAGAGAGAGAGAGAGAGAGAGAGAGAGAGAGAGAGAGAGAGAGAGAGAGAGAGAGAGAGUGUGUUCAAACUUCAAACAAGCAAGUUUUGUGAGGCAAUCAUCAAAGACAAAGGUAUCAACUGUAACUUUUGGUUUAGAGUUCCCUGUUUCUGUCAACUUCACUGCAGUUGGAAGCACUUUUUGGACAUUUUGAUGAACAAGAGAGAGAGAGAGAGAGAGAGAGAGAGAGAGGGUUCGAACAAGUUAAUUUUGUACAAAGCAUUCAUCAAAGACGAAGGAAUCAACUGUGAGGCUCCUAACUUUUGGUUUAGACUUGCCCUGUUUCUGUCAACUGCACUGCAGUUGGAAGCACUUUUUGGACAUUUUAAGAAACAAAACACUGUAAUUGAUUUUGGGAUGCAAAAAGACCUUGUAUCUUAGCCAUUAUGUAAUACCUAAGGGGGUGUUUGGAUUUCCAAGCAAAUAUCCCAGAAAUAAAAAAAAAAAAAAAAAGUGUUUUUUGUUCA
This is a long non-coding RNA of Ananas comosus (pineapple), 3118 nucleotides long. RefSeq lists it as uncharacterized. The transcript has 2 exons. The record is from RefSeq and is a predicted model, not a curated record. Lineage: Eukaryota; Viridiplantae; Streptophyta; Magnoliopsida; Poales; Bromeliaceae.